This 571-nucleotide ribosomal RNA is filed under the name Lophiostoma sp. OTU1 TS-2013. Its description in RNAcentral is "eukaryotic LSU rRNA". It matches the Rfam family "Eukaryotic large subunit ribosomal RNA", at positions 62 to 648 of the family's 3401-position model. Lineage: Eukaryota; Fungi; Ascomycota; Dothideomycetes; Pleosporales; Lophiostomataceae. The record is from RNAcentral.
AAACCAACAGGGAUUGCCCUAGUAACGGCGAGUGAAGCGGCAAGAGCUCAAAUUUGAAAUCUGGCCCUCUCAGGGUCCGAGUUGUAAUUUGUAGAGGGCGNUUUGGCGUUGGCCCCGGCCUAAGUUCCUUGGAACAGGACGUCACAGAGGGUGAGAACCCCGUACGUGGCCGCCGGCCUCCGCCGUGUAAAGCCCCUUCGACGAGUCCAGUUGUUUGGGAAUGCAGCUCUAAAUGGGAGGUAAAUUUCUUCUAAAGCUAAAUACUGGCCAGAGACCGAUAGCGCACAAGUAGAGUGAUCGAAAGAUGAAAAGCACUUUGGAAAGAGAGUCAAAAAGCACGUGAAAUUGUUGAAAGGGAAGCGCUUGCAGCCAGACUUGCCUGUAGUUGCUCAUCCGAGCUCCCGCUCGGUGCACUCUUCUGCGGGCAGGCCAGCAUCAGUCCGGGCGGUCGGAUAAAGGCCUCGGGAAUGUAGCUCCCCUCGGGGAGUGUUAUAGCCCGGGGUGCCAUGCGACCAGCCUGGACUGAGGUCCGCGCAUCUGCUAGGAUGCUGGCGUAAUGGCUGUAAGCGGC